GCCGAAGUGGCGGAACCGGUAGACGCGCUACGUUCAGGGCGUAGUUCUCGUAAGGGAGUGGAGGUUCGAGUCCUCUCUUCGGCA
Molecule: transfer RNA, 84 nt
Filed under: Chloroflexota bacterium
Lineage: Bacteria; Bacillati; Chloroflexota
Description: Chloroflexi bacterium (groundwater metagenome) tRNA-Leu
Rfam family: tRNA
About the family: Transfer RNA (tRNA) molecules are approximately 80 nucleotides in length. Their secondary structure includes four short double-helical elements and three loops (D, anti-codon, and T loops).
Source: RNAcentral